RNAcentral lists this unclassified non-coding RNA (412 nucleotides) under Melitaea cinxia (Glanville fritillary). Its description in RNAcentral is "misc RNA ENSMCXG00005000494.1". Lineage: Eukaryota; Metazoa; Arthropoda; Insecta; Lepidoptera; Nymphalidae. The record is from RNAcentral.
UAUAAAGAACGGGAUAUCGUGCUUUAAACAAUUUAUUACAAGUUCGGAUUAGAUACAGACAUUAACAACGCAACAGAAACACGUUAACAUUCAAUUACAAUACAAGAAACAAUCACAUGCGCUCUAGACGACGGCGCGGGACCCACUGUAAUUUAUUACAAGUUCGGAUUAGAUACAGACAUUAACAACGCAACAGAAACACGUUAACAUUCAAUUACAAUACAAGAAACAAUCACAUGCGCUCUAGACGACGGCGCGGGACCCACUGUAUCUAUGCGCCGUGCACCGACUCGCGCGGUGCCGCGCCGCACGCGCCGCUACCCUUACCCCUCUCUAGCCGCCGCGCUCGGUCGGCUGCGUAGCAACUGCGCGCGAUCGCCGCGCUACUACCAGGUCCGCGCGUUACGCAAGU